Molecule: long non-coding RNA, 1162 nt
Organism: Ananas comosus (pineapple)
Lineage: Eukaryota; Viridiplantae; Streptophyta; Magnoliopsida; Poales; Bromeliaceae
Exons: 2
Source: RefSeq, a predicted model, not a curated record
UAAUGUAACUCAUCCAGCUAUCUCUGGUGGAGCUAUUGGACUGGGUGCUCCUACAAAUCCUGCUGCAAUAUUGAAGCAUCCUAGGACACCUACAACUGCCAACUCUACCAUAGAUUACCCGUCAGCUGAUUCUGAUCACGUAUCCAAAAGAAAUAGGCCUAUUGGGAUAUCUGAUGAGGUAUCCUGCAAGUCUUUCCUUCAAUUCUGUUUCCAUUUUAUUCUACUUGUUACUAUAUGAGAGGGUUAAUUAGAAAUUAAGUCCCUUAUGUUUGACCUUAAUUUCAAUUCCUCCCUCCAAGUUUCAAUUUGUAACAAUAUAGUUCUUGAGAUUUGACUUGAUUCUAAUAUCAUCCUCAAAUUGCAAUUUUAGCAAUUUAACCCCUAAAGAUUUCAAUUUCGUCCUCAAAUUGCAAUUUUAACAAUUUAACCCUGAAAGUUUGAGCCCAAUUUCAGUUUUGGUUCUCAUUGUUUCAGUAUUACUAAAGCAAAGAAUAAUGAUGAUUUUGACAUGGUGUUUUUUUGGACUGUGAACUAGCAUGGGGACAAAAUUGUCAUCUGAACAAACUUCACUGCCUAAAUUGUUACAAUUUAAACUGUCUAAAUGAAAUUAAGGUCAAACUUUAAGGAGUAAAUAUUAGAUUAGAGCUACAAAUCACCUUUCCUAUAUGAUUUAUCAGAGCUACAAAUCUCUCAUUUAACAAGAAACUUUUCUCUUUGCAUGUUUUCUCUACAGAAUUAGCCUAAUGAGUCAAUGCUAUUCCGAUGCAUUCAGUUGAGAGAUUACAUAGAAGAUUACUCCCAUAUUGGACACAAAUUAAAAUUCUGAUGUAUAUAUAUUAUGAGAAAUUUCUUUAUCUAUCAAUUUAAGCUCUCCGACUUGGCAUGUGUUUUUUAACACCAGCACUUUUUUCAAACAAUUAAUGCUGCUAUUUUGGCUGUAUUUACAAAAUAAACAAUGUGAAAAGAUAUUAUUGACUUAGUCCAGUAUAUAAAAAUACACUGUUUGAUAAGGUUUGAUCAUUAAGAGAUCAAACAUAUAUAUAAUUUAUUGAUCAGUUAAUAAAUUACACUCUAUAAAAUUGGUCAUAGUCACAAUUCUCCAAAUGUUGGUGGAUUUGAUUAGUUGAAUCAGAAGUUAAUUAAAAAUAAAAAAAUACUAAUU